AUUGAACGCUGGCGGCAGGCCUAACACAUGCAAGUCGAGCGGAUGAAGGGAGCUUGCUCCUGGAUUCAGCGGCGGACGGGUGAGUAAUGCCUAUGAAUCUGCCUGGUAGUGGGGGAUAACGUCCGGAAACGGGCGCUAAUACCGCAUACGUACUGGACGAGAAAGUGGGGGAUCUUCGGACCUCACGCUAUCAGAUGAGCCUAGGUCGGAUUAGCUAGUUGGUGGGGUAAAGGCCUACCAAGGCGACGAUCCGUAACUGGUCUGAGAGGAUGAUCAGUCACACUGGAACUGAGACACGGUCCAGACUCCUACGGGAGGCAGCAGUGGGGAAUAUUGGACAAUGGGCGAAAGCCUGAUCCAGCCAUGCCGCGUGUGUGAAGAAGGUCUUCGGAUUGUAAAGCACUUUAAGUUGGGAGGAAGGGCAGUAAGUUAAUACCUUGCUGUUUUGACGUUACCAACAGAAUAAGCACCGGCUAACUUCGUG
This 484-nucleotide ribosomal RNA is filed under the name uncultured bacterium. RNAcentral's name for it is "partial 16S ribosomal RNA". It matches the Rfam family "Bacterial small subunit ribosomal RNA", at positions 30 to 507 of the family's 1533-position model. The record is from RNAcentral.